This 468-nucleotide ribosomal RNA is filed under the name uncultured bacterium. RNAcentral's name for it is "partial 16S ribosomal RNA". It matches the Rfam family "Bacterial small subunit ribosomal RNA", at positions 28 to 507 of the family's 1533-position model. The record is from RNAcentral.
GAUGAACGCUGACAGCAUGCUUAACACAUGCAAGUCUACUUGAAUUUGGGUUUUUUAACUUAGAUUUGGGUGGCGGACGGGUGAGUAACGCGUAAAGAACUUGCCUCACAGUUAGGGACAACAUUUGGAAACGAAUGCUAAUACCUGAUAUUAUGAAUAUAUGGCAUCAUAUAAUUAUGAAAGCUAUAAGCGCUGUGAGAGAGCUUUGCGUCCCAUUAGCUAGUUGGAGAGGUAACGGCUCACCAAGGCGAUGAUGGGUAGCCGGCCUGAGAGGGUGAACGGCCACAAGGGGACUGAGGCACGGCCCUUACUCCUACGGGAGGCAGCAGUGGGGAAUAUUGGACAAUGGACCAAGAGUCUGAUCCAGCAAUUCUGUGUGCACGAUGACGUUUUUCGGAAUGUAAAGUGCUUUCAGUUGGGAAGAAAAAAAUGACGGUACCAACAGAAGAAGUGACGGCUAAAUACGUG